GAGAGCUAUAUAGCAGCGGCAGCGCUCUGGCGUCGCUCAUACUGCCGGAGAGAACGAAACAAACAGAAGUAGAAGUUGCAGUUUGUAACGUGAAGCAAUUCUACGCUUGUAUGAAGUCAUAUCAGUUGGAAAUCACACAUUACGGUCUCCCUGCCAGAGAGAAUUAGCCAGAGUGGGGGUUGAAUGGAGGGGUGGAGGCUGCUCUAUCCAUGCAGCAGGUCAGAUGCCGGGGGACAAGAUUGAGUCUUGCCUCUUCCUCUUUGGCCAGAGAGCUCUACCGAGGGACAAAGGAUGCUGGAAAGAAGAAGCAGAUCAAACCCCAGUUGGCAGUGCAGCGGUCGCCGACGUGGCAGAGUGCGGGAAGGGGAAUCAGAGGAGAAGUAAGAGGUUGCAGCAUGAGAUCAUAGGAGUCACACUGAGGCGCAUGCACUGAAAUGACCCUGACCUCUAACACCUUUGCUCUUGCAUGAGAGAACACCUUUUUGUGGCUUUGGAUGGAAGAAGCGAGUGUAGGAGAAGAGAAAUGAAGAGCAUGGUGCCGUCCUUCACCAUUAUUAUCGGGUUUUUGGAAGGGGCUCUGCAAUGGCACAAAAAAAGGUCCUCUUUGAAAAGAAGGUUUUCAGAUUCGGACCCCUUGAGAACAGAAUGAUUAAUUUAGCACAAGGAAUAAUACUUUGGAUGAUAAAGGGAAUACAUUUAUCUUUUUGCUUUCAUCCUGACUGUGUGCGGGAGAGCCCAGGAAACCUUGAGGGAAAUUGAACCGUACAGAUUCAGUCUGGAAUUCUUUCAAAUGGUUCCAAAGCCAUGAGAGUGCGCUGGAUCAUCUCUGGUUUAGCAUCCACCAGAUCCAGUCUGUAUCCAGAUCAGAGGGUCACUGCAGUCACCCGGAUCCAGUACGUAUCCAGCCCAGAUGGUGGAUCAGCACCUAGAAAGGACCUCUACAGCCCUGAAAGACAGCGGAGGCCUGGACAACUAGAUGAGCCGCAGAGACAGAUCCCCUGUGAAGACCUUGUCUCAGACGACCAUCAGGACAAGACCACAGGAAACAGAUGAUUCUUCUGCACAAUCUGACUUUGCUGCAGCCUGGAAUUGAACUGCUGGUUUCAUCUGGCCAGAGGAGAACUGGCCCCCC
Molecule: long non-coding RNA, 1132 nt
Organism: Cyprinus carpio carpio
Lineage: Eukaryota; Metazoa; Chordata; Actinopteri; Cypriniformes; Cyprinidae
Source: Ensembl